This is a long non-coding RNA of Numida meleagris (helmeted guineafowl), 903 nucleotides long. RefSeq lists it as uncharacterized. The record is from RefSeq and is a predicted model, not a curated record. Lineage: Eukaryota; Metazoa; Chordata; Aves; Galliformes; Numididae. The transcript has 6 exons.
AAUUACUCACUAAAAUAUUUCCCAAACAUUCAGCUCACCGUUACAGCAUGCAAAAUUAAGCAUGAUCACUAUUUCUGAAGCAGUUUUAUGAUAGCAUUUAAAGAAUAAAGCAUUAGCGAAGUCAGCUUGCGUUGUAGUAAUACCCAAUUCUCCUCCUCUCAGGACAAAAUAUAGUGUGUGAGAUGGGCAUCCAAAGCUCCAGCUAUGCUGUCAAUCUGCACUAGCAACAGAGCUGUGCUACCCAAGAGGAGAGGUUCUGCAGAAUAGAGCUAUCCCUACUUUCAGAGCUGGCUUAGCAGCUUAAGGGACCCAAAUGAAGAAUACGUGGAUAAUACUCACCAGAACUAAGUUAAUCUGAAUUUCUGUCUUCAAGGGAAAGUGAAUGUUUAGUUACCUGGUAAUGCUAGUGAAGAAAAAUAGGAGCUCUCAUAAAAUGUAACAUCCUAAAAAGAUGAACACGCUUUUCCCUGGAUUUAAAAGUUUGAAUUCGCUCCAAAGUCGUACUCCUUCUGUUGUGCUUUUGCGAACUUUCAAAAACAAGCAUUAAUAGUGAGCUGGAUCAGCACCUCAGGCAUCAGCUUGGAUGUGAAUCAGACUGUGUAAGUUCUGGACCUGAAAAGACUGUCAUCUGAACCACUAAACUAGAAACUGUUCCUUCUGGACUUUCCAUAUAAAGCAUUAAGGAAAAGAGGAUUCCAUGAAGUUAAUGCAGAUAAGACUGAUCCUUUCACAGGCUCGUCUCUACGGGAUGCAAACAGAGCUCUCUGGAGAUCUUAAGUAGAGCUGUCCCUCAUGGCAGUCCUGAAGGUGAGUUUUAUGGAGGCUGUUUUUCUUGCAGUUUGCAAAUGGCGCAUUGUUGCUUUUACACAAAACCUGUUCUGGAGCUGUGAAAAUGCCCUUAAG